AUUGGGUCCAAUCUCAUUUCUACCUCAGGAUAUCAAGUGCCAAUAGAGUGGUUGUACCUUUUCGAUGCAACCAAAUUACUGUAAUCAGCCGAGAAUGAUCAAUGCCAGGAAGGCACCCACAUCUUUAUAACGAUGGAAGAUUUCUAGACUUAAUAUUUAGUAAGAAGAUUUAGAUUUAGAUCUCUUCUAAAUCAACAGAUUUGAUAUCUGACUGAUCAAAUUCAUGUCAGUACAUUAAUAUGUCUAACCAGCC
Molecule: long non-coding RNA, 253 nt
Filed under: Elaeis guineensis (African oil palm)
Lineage: Eukaryota; Viridiplantae; Streptophyta; Magnoliopsida; Arecales; Arecaceae
Description: long non-coding RNA (EGUI_LNC008385)
Source: RNAcentral